Small nuclear RNA from Ictidomys tridecemlineatus (thirteen-lined ground squirrel), 103 nucleotides. NCBI's taxonomy places the organism in Eukaryota, Metazoa, Chordata, Mammalia, Rodentia, Sciuridae. The record is from Ensembl.
GUCCCAGUUUGGUAGCACCCAUACCAAAAUCGAAAUGAUACAGAUAUAAGCAUGGACCCCACAUAAGAAUGACAUAAAAAUUCAUGAAGCAUUCCAUAUUUGA